GACGAACGCUGGCGGCGUGCCUAAUACAUGCAAGUAGAACGGUGAGGGAGGAGCUUGCUCUGCUGGACGAGUGGCGAACGGGUGAGUAACGCGUGGGUAACCUGCCUGGUAGCGGGGGAUAACUAUUGGAAACGAUAGCUAAUACCGGAUAAGAGUAGAUGUUGCAUGGCGGUUACUGAAAAGGUGCAAUGGCUGGACUACGAGAUGGAGCUGCGUUGUAUUAGCUAGUGGGUGGGGUAAAGGCACACCAAGGCGAGGAGACAUAGCCGAACGGCGAGGGGGAUCAGCCACACUGGGAGUGUGACACGGCCCAUUCUCCUACGGGAGCCAGCAGUAGUGAAUCUUCAGCAAUGGGCGGAAGUCUUACCGAGCAACGCCGCGUGAUUGUAGAAGGUUUCCGCAUCGGAAAUCUCUGUUUUAGGAGAAGAAUGAGUGUUAGAGUGGAACGUUCACACUGUGACGGUAACUUACCAGAAAGCGACGGCUAACUACGUG
RNAcentral lists this ribosomal RNA (495 nucleotides) under uncultured bacterium. RNAcentral describes it as "partial 16S ribosomal RNA". It matches the Rfam family "Bacterial small subunit ribosomal RNA", at positions 28 to 507 of the family's 1533-position model. The record is from RNAcentral.